This 468-nucleotide ribosomal RNA is filed under the name uncultured bacterium. RNAcentral's name for it is "partial 16S ribosomal RNA". It matches the Rfam family "Bacterial small subunit ribosomal RNA", at positions 28 to 507 of the family's 1533-position model. The record is from RNAcentral.
GACGAACGCUGGCGGCGUGCUUAACACAUGCAAGUCGAACGGAAAGGCCCUGCUUUUGUGGGGUGCUCGAGUGGCGAACGGGUGAGUAACACGUGAGUAACCUGCCCUUGACUUUGGUAUAACUUCAGGAAACUGGGGCUAAUACCGGGUAGGAUCUCCUGCUGCAUGGUGUGGGUUGGAAAGUUUCGGCGGUUGGGGAUGGACUCGCGGCUUAUCAGCUUGUUGGUGGGGUAGUGGCUUACCAAGGAUUUGACGGGUAGCCGGCCUGAGAGGGUGACCGGACAAAUGGGGAAUGAGAUACGGCCCAGAAUACUACGGGAGGCAGCAGUGGGGAAUAUUGCACAAGGGGAGGAAGCCUGAUGCAGCAACGCAGCGAGCGGGAUGACGGCCUUCGGGUUGUAAACAGAUUUAGCAUGUGACGAAGAGUGAGUGACGGUAAUGGGUAAAGAAGCACCGGCUAACUACGUG